RNAcentral lists this ribosomal RNA (433 nucleotides) under uncultured bacterium. RNAcentral describes it as "partial 16S ribosomal RNA". It matches the Rfam family "Bacterial small subunit ribosomal RNA", at positions 29 to 507 of the family's 1533-position model. The record is from RNAcentral.
AACGAACGCUGGCGGCAUGCCUAACACAUGCAAGUCGAACGAGACCUUCGGGUCUAGUGGCGCACGGGUGCGUAACGCGCGGGAACCUGCCCUUCGGUUCGGAAUAACGCCCCGAAAGGGGUGCUAAUACCGUAUAAUUUCGUCGGAUCAGAGAUUUAUCGCCUUUGGAUGGGCCCGGGUUGGAUUAGCUAGUUGGUAGGGUAAGAGCCUAGCUAGGGGACGAUCCAUAGCUGGUCUGAGAGGAUGAUCAGCCACACUGGGACUGAGACGCGGCCCAGACUACUACGGGAGGCAGCAGGGGGGAAUAUUGGACAAUGGGCGAAAGCCUGAUCCAGCAAUGCCGCGUGAGUGAUGAAGGCCUUAGGGAUGUAAAGCUCUUUUACCCGGGAGGAUAAUGACAGUACCGGGAGAAUAAGCGCCGGCUAACUACGUG